CAAACUGACGCCACAGUCAUAAACAUUUUCUGGCCCUGGGACUAACUGUUGAGGCUCGCUGGUGAAGCUGAUAAGCCCCACAGGAUGGCACAGCCUGGCUUAUCGAGCUCGGCCAAGCCAGAGGACCUCUGCUAUCUCUGGAGCAACUGGCAGAGGAAAAACUCAUCCCCUUAUCUCCCCUCUGCUGGGGAAAUAACACUCCUUCCAGCCUCGCUGUCCACUAACUUCAGGUGGUGCUCUCAUCUGUGUUUUUUUACGACAGCCUCAUGGAGGACUGCAGUGACGGAGCAGAAACAAGAGGCCCAGACUUUCUAUUUGACUCCUACAUGCUGUGCGAGGCUCUUCUGGCACGCAGACAAGAUUACAGCCGAAGUGUUUAUUUUCAGUGAAAGAAGUUUGUUAUCACACGAGCAGGAGCUAAUUUCAACACAAUAGCAGUGUCUGUUUCAGCGUGGUGAUCGGAAAUCUAAUGUUGAAGUGAGGGCAGAUUAUUUUAUGAGCAAAAAUGAAAACAAUCUUUCGUGCAGAGUGGAAACUCAUAACAGACUAUUGACACACACAAUAGAAAGAAAGAAGCAAAUCCAGUCUGGUUAAAUACCAACCAGCCAAACCUGAAGAUCAGGAGCCUUAACCGACAUUUGUCCAAGGGCCAGAAUGUUUCUAAGCAGACGGUGUCGGGGCUGGAAAAUCCCUUUAUUUCAAGAUCAAUGCUAUUUUAUUAGCCUAUAGCGUCCACUGCCGCUGUAGCUGAUCACCUGCAGCUUCAAAUCAAUAACUGAUAUCCAGUAAGCAGGUGUUGGCUGGUAAAAGACUUCAGUGAAGGACGCUCAUAUGUAUCCUCGCUGAUUGCCCCACAGAGAUGCCACCUCCUCUGUGCAGAAAUAACAGCUUCGGCAUGGCCUGCAAGAUGGCGAACCAGAACGACCUCCAUUACGAGGAAGGAUGAAGGAGGAAGGAAAUGUCAGACAAAAGAGUAUCCCGUGUAUUUCGUGGUCAAGUUGCCUGACCACAUGGGAAGUUACCUUUCCAGCUUCUGGUGGAACUCAGAGGAGGCCUAGAUUUUACCUGAUGGUGUUUUCCGUCUAUCAUAAUAAAAUAAAAGGGUAACACUGGUUAUAUCAUAUUUUACUGAUACUACACAGGAAGUCCGUGUUUAAGAGGCUUAAAUCUUAUUAUCUGUAGUCUUUUAUUAUGAACCACAGCAGAUGUGUGGACUCUCAAACUGUUUCUUGGCUCAGCUUUGGAAAAUCUGAGGAAUUAUCUUUUCCUCAGCGCCGCUCUAAACCCACCCCGUCAAGCGUCUUUUCCUUCCUCUUUGAGAGUUUACACCUCACGUAUGCAGUCAAAGGGCACCUGGCUCUGCAGGCCGUGUUUGUCCAGAGAGUGACCACGCCAAAGCAUGGGGGCAGUCACCACAGUUGCGUCCUGACCGGUAGGGGUGCUGAACAAACUGUCGUGUAAGUGCACCUGUGUGAAGUGGCCGACCACUCCUCCAUUGAUGGAUCCCACUCCGUAGCGCCAGUCCUUCACCUCGUCAUACCAGGACUGGAUAGCGUUGCUCCAGCUGUUUUUGUAGCUAGACUUGUACAGGUUCUCUCCACAGCCACUAGCUGCAGUAAAAGAGGAGGAGACGGAGAUGGAGUUGCAUACAAUUUUAUGCUCUGAUGAGACAACAAACUUGUUUCAUAGUCGUUCUUGCUUGUUUCUGUACUUGUAAAAUGACAGCGUGGUGUACCUUGUGUAAAGUGUGGUUUGAAAUGAAGAGGUGAACUUACUGCUGAUCUUUCUGGAGCUGUCAGAGCUAUGCUUCAUGGAGCAGGUGUUGGCCCAUCUCUGAGCGUUGGCUGCAGCCUCACUGCUCCAGCUCUGUGGGGAGCAGAGGGCAGAGCAACAUUAGCACAUGUAGACGACUACAGUACACACCAGGAAAUCUCCCAAAGCUGCGUGCUGGUCUGGGAAAUCAGUUUAUCUUUAACUGAUAUGCUGCACGAGAGACAGUGUGCAAUAUCUAAUCAAGCACUGAUAGAUCAAGUGACAACCCGGGCUCAAGAUAAAAUUUAGUGAAGCUCACUAAGCUUUUAAAAUUGUGAAAUCAUUUUAACAGAUCAGUGUGAUACCAUUUCCAGCAUGUUGCUUGCACUUUGCUUUCUUCUCAGUUCAUUAUGCUUGUUCACAAUCUGAGCCUGUUCUGAGGAAGUGGAGCCCGUGCUAAUGCCUAAAUAAACAAAAGAAGAAAAGGAAAAAACAUGUUUAGUUAGAAUGUAUAUGGAUAUUCUUAAUCUUCCAAUGAUAGUUACAAACACUCACCUCCUCCACCCUGUCCAGUGUCUUCCUCAGAAGAAGAGUCAAAGAACCAGAACGCUGAGGUUCCAGGUAGCUGAAGUGCAGCAAUGAGGCCCAAGGUGCACAGGAGAGUCAAAGUGUACAUCGUCAUGGUUGAAUCCACGACUGUCCGAGAGUUACAGGUGCUGAACAAACUGUCGUGUAAGUGCACCUGUGUGAAGUGGCCGACCACUCCUCCAUUGAUGGAUCCCACUCCGUAGCGCCAGUCCUUCACCUCGUCGUACCAGGACUGGAUUGCGUUGCUCCAGCUGUUUUUGAAGCUAGACAUGUACAGGUUCUCUCCACAGCCACUAGCUGCAGUAAAAGAGGAGGAGACGGAGAUGCUUUCACCUUAUUAAAACUCACUAUGAAAGAAAUUUAAUUGUCUCCGCUGCACAGUGUCUUUGUAAAAGCAGGAACUCGAGCUGAAACCUGAACUCCAACUCUCACUCCUCACAGGAUAUGUGGACACUUUAUGUGCACUUCAAACCAAUAAAACCCACUCAGCAUUAAUGCAAUUCUCUGUCAGAAAUAAGAUAAUUUCUGAGAUGCAGAUGAUAAACCAUAGUUAACAGUUACACCCAGGUAAAAAAAUCUCAUCAUAAAGUGACACAUAAAACUAGUCAGUAAAACCUGCUUUUACACUUCAUUUACAUUGCGUAUUUAGCCACUGCAAAGAUUAAUUUUAAUGCUGAGUUUUCUUGACAUUAA
Molecule: long non-coding RNA, 3033 nt
Organism: Scatophagus argus
Lineage: Eukaryota; Metazoa; Chordata; Actinopteri; Scatophagidae
Exons: 4
Source: RefSeq, a predicted model, not a curated record